AGGAGACCCUUCCCAUGGCUAAUUUCAGGACAUGACAAAUUUUGACGUUGACGCCCCCUUUUCAUUUUUUUAAUUGUGUAAACCUUUUUUUAUUGAAGUAUACUUGAUGUAUAAUAUUACACUGUCGUAAACCUUUGAUUUUUAAAAAGGAAGAAAAAUAAAAGCCACCCUAAAAUGAUUUUUUUUUUUGACUGGCAUCUACAUCUCUACCCUGCUUCCUGCACCUGGUGGGGGACACAGCGCUUCUCCGCCCUUCAGGAAACGGCCCACUUGUCAGCAGCUGGGCUCCCAGGAACAAAGGCCUAGGUUCAUUACCACAGUAUCGACCCUGACACGUUGCACUCGGGCCACCUCCCCCAGAGUUCCUCAAUUCACACCCCAAAUGAAGCGUAAUUGGACCUGGACAUCUUUGAAGUCCCCCGAGCAGCUCGCCAGCAUUUUGAAAUGUCCUCGAUUUGCAUGGUGAAAACCUGGUUGGAGGUGACUUUUUCUUUCCCCUCAUCCCACGGUUUUAAAGACAGAAUGAUUUAAAAUGACAUUCCCCAGCCAGGGAAGAGUUACCAUGGAAGAAAUAAAAAUUCUCAAAGCCCAGAAAAGAAAAGGCCAAAUAAGUCCGAGGAUCUGAUGAAUCUCUCAUCUGCUCCUUUGCUCGGUUUUUGUUCUGCGAGGGCCACAUACCAGGCCGUGGUUUCCUCUCAAACUUCUCCCCACGUCCCCGACCUGGGGGGAUGACGAGGAUCCAGGAAACUUGGCUAGGAGGUUCUGCAGGCCAGCGGGUUGCUGUCGGACCUGAAGCAAGAGCGGGAGCCCUGCCACAGGCCGGUCCCUUAAUGGCCGUUUGUAUUGGAUGAAGUUCAUAAGGAUUUGCAGAGGUUCUCCAGGGCCUCUGUGAGGGUGAAGAAACUAGCUCUGCCAACCACGGGUUCUCAAGGAACAUUUGUCUGCAGUGGAAUUAAUCAGAAGUCGCGCCCUCCCUCCCUCUGACAGCUGCAGGGGGAGAGGGUGGAGGAAUUAUCCAGGGAAUGCGAGGGCAAUGGGGGCCACGUGAUAAGAAGGAGAGUUCUCCCUUGUCCCUUUCCAACGCCCCUGCAGAUGUGGCCGAGGAGCCCGGCCCUGCAAGGCCAUGGUGGAGGAAGGAGGCUGUGUAGUAAUGUGGUUAGGGCUCGGCAAACCCGGCUCCAAAAGCCAGCGCUGUUAUGUAACUGGUGUGCGCCUCAGUUUCCUCUGUAGUAAAAUGGGAAUGACUUCCGGGCUGCUUGUGGGGAUUAAGGGAGGUCAGGCGAAUAACGGCCCAGGCACACCAUGGGUUUAGGAGAUGGCGGUUCCUGGGAUUUAUGCAGACCUGUGGCCCUAUGCCCUGUGGGAGUGGAGCCCUAAGCGUAAAUCGUUAACUCCUCAAAGGUAUGUUUGCUGUGCCCUGGGAUUUUCAAAGGGCAGGCUCUCCCAACAGCUCCAGAACCUUGCUACUCAAAAGGCCCGCGGACCGGCAGCAGCCUCACCUGAGAGGCUGUAAGGACGCCCUCAGAUGCUCCCCAGGCCUGUCGAAUCAGAAUUUCUAUAUUAAGAUUCCCUCAGUUUCAAAAUCACAUUUGGAGAAGUGGACCCUCUGUGCAUAAGAACAGCCACUGAGAGAAACAACAAAGAUGAGCGGGUUGAAAAAGGCAAGUCCUUCCAUUGCCCUCCACGUUUGUCUCUCAUAUCAGGAUUCUGAUCGUCCCCACUGGCCUUUUCCGUGAUGGCUAGAGUUGUAAAAUGGACCCCAGAGCAGGAUACAUGGCCAUUCGGGGAGGAUUUUUUCCUGGAACUCUCCUGGGUUCUCCUGGACCAGUCCUAGAGGAGGCAAGUGGGUAGAAGCUUACCAAGUCGGCCCUGGAAGGGACCUUGGAGGGCAUCUAGUCCAGCCAAGCCAGCUGAAAGGCAGGGUUACCUAGUGGUUGAGCGCACACAUUUGAAGCCAGACAGCCCCAGUUUGAACCAGUUCUCCACCACUUCCUAGCUGUGUGACCUUGGACAAGUUUACUAACCUCCGCCUCAGUUUCCUCAUCUGUCACAUAGUAAUCAUCCUACCUACCUCAGACAGUUGUAGCGGUGACAAAGUGAAUUAACACAUAAAGCAUCAGGAAUAGCACAAAGUGUACAGUAAGCGUUUGAUAAGAGAAGGAAAUGAGGCUCAGAGGAGAAGCAGCCUCCCCGAGGUCACUCAGGGAUUUGCCAAACUGAGCUGGACUCGGUGAAAAAGAGGAGAGGUUACAGCCUCUUGGAAAUUCUGACUAAUAACUGUUUCUCUGCCUGUGUUACAUCGCCCUCGCUCAACACUUGGAGAGAGACCUCAUGUGGAAGUCAGGGUACCGCAUUCCAGUCCAGGCGUGCAGCUCACCGACAGUGGCCCUCCUAGCUGAUGAGCUUGGGGCUGGAUGGUCUCUGGGGUUCCUAUUGGCACUAACAUCUUAUAAUUUGAAAUUAGGGUCUGUACCCUCCAUUCAAAUCAAGUCUGUCUUUUCCUGCAACACGCUUUACACUGUUUUUUUUUUCUCCCCAUUUCCCUCUGACGUUUUGCCCAACUGUGUCCUGUGCUCAUCAACACCCGGUUUCCUUUUGGCCCUCCCACUCUGUCCCUCCCCACGUUGGCCCCUCUCCCCUGCUAGGGCAAUCAUGGGCUCCCACUGGCCCACACCUGAGCCCUCAGUUGCCAGGUUUAAGCUGAUUAGACACUGUCUUGGAGGUGUCUUGAAAGUUACCAUGUAGGCACCUUGAAACUAGAGACUGGAUUUCUUCCUUAU
Molecule: long non-coding RNA, 2780 nt
Organism: Aethalodelphis obliquidens (Pacific white-sided dolphin)
Lineage: Eukaryota; Metazoa; Chordata; Mammalia; Artiodactyla; Delphinidae
Exons: 4
Source: RefSeq, a predicted model, not a curated record